GAUGAAGAACGUAGCGAAAUGCGAUAAGUAAUGUGAAUUGCAGAAUUCAGUGAAUCAUCGAAUCUUUGAACGCACAUUGCGCCCGCCAGUAUUCUGGCGGGCAUGCCUGUUCGAGCGUCAUUUCAACCAUCAAGCCCCAGGCUUGUGUUGGGGACCUGCGGCUGCCGCAGGCCCUGAAAACCAGUGGCGGGCUCGCUGUCACACCGGGCGUAGUAGAUUUUAUCUCGCUCAGGGCGUGCUGCGGAUUCCGGCCGUUAAAAAGCCUUUUUUACCCAAGGUUGACCUCGGAUCAGGUAGGAAUACCCGCUGAACUUAAGCAUAUCAAUAAGCGGAGGA
Molecule: unclassified non-coding RNA, 336 nt
Filed under: soil metagenome
Description: partial contains 5.8S ribosomal RNA, internal transcribed spacer 2, and large subunit ribosomal RNA
Rfam family: 5.8S ribosomal RNA (bases 1-120)
Source: RNAcentral